UACGGAGGGGACUAGCGUUGUUCGGAAUUACUGGGCGUAAAGCGCACGUAGGCGGCUUUCUAAGUCGGGGGUGAAAUCCUGGAGCUCAACUCCAGAACUGCCUUCGAUACUGGAAAGCUCGAGUCCGGGAGAGGUGAGUGGAACUGCGAGUGUAGAGGUGAAAUUCGUAGAUAUUCGCAAGAACACCAGUGGCGAAGGCGGCUCACUGGCCCGGUACUGACGCUGAGGUGCGAAAGCGUGGGGAGCAAACAGGG
Molecule: ribosomal RNA, 254 nt
Filed under: uncultured bacterium
Lineage: Bacteria
Description: partial 16S ribosomal RNA
Rfam family: Bacterial small subunit ribosomal RNA
Source: RNAcentral